UUGAGAGCCCUGGAAAUUGAAGUCCUCUGUUUAGCCACAAAGCAGGUACAGCAUGGGGGGCAGCUAUGCAAGCUUCUCAGGAUGGGACCCAUUAUAGCAAUGACAGAACACUUCAGUGCCCAUGUCCAUUCAGUCCUUGCUCUCA
Unclassified non-coding RNA from Chelonoidis abingdonii (Abingdon island giant tortoise), 145 nucleotides. The record is from Ensembl. Lineage: Eukaryota; Metazoa; Chordata; Testudines; Testudinidae.